This 254-nucleotide ribosomal RNA is filed under the name uncultured bacterium. Its description in RNAcentral is "partial 16S ribosomal RNA". It matches the Rfam family "Bacterial small subunit ribosomal RNA", at positions 524 to 776 of the family's 1533-position model. The record is from RNAcentral.
UACGUAGGGGGCAAGCGUUGUCCGGAUUUAUUGGGCGUAAAGAGCUCGUAGGCGGUUGGGCAAGUCACGUGUGAAAUCUCCACGCUCAACGUGGAGGCGCCACGUGAGACUGCCCUGACUCGAGUCCGGUAGGGGAGCGUGGAAUUCCCGGUGUAGCGGUGAAAUGCGCAGAGAUCGGGAGGAACACCCGUAGCGAAGGCGGCGCUCUGGACUGCAACUGACACUGAUGAACGAAAGCCAGGGGAGCAAACGGG